Molecule: transfer RNA, 86 nt
Filed under: Acholeplasmatales bacterium
Lineage: Bacteria; Bacillati; Mycoplasmatota; Mollicutes; Acholeplasmatales
Description: tRNA-Leu
Rfam family: tRNA
About the family: Transfer RNA (tRNA) molecules are approximately 80 nucleotides in length. Their secondary structure includes four short double-helical elements and three loops (D, anti-codon, and T loops).
Source: RNAcentral
GCCACUGUGUUGAAACAGGUAGACAAACUUGACUCAAAAUCAAGCGCCGAAUAAGCGUGCCGGUUCGAAUCCGGCCAGUGGCACCA